RNAcentral lists this ribosomal RNA (290 nucleotides) under Picocystis salinarum. RNAcentral's name for it is "partial Eukaryotic small subunit ribosomal RNA". It matches the Rfam family "Eukaryotic small subunit ribosomal RNA", at positions 96 to 399 of the family's 1831-position model. Lineage: Eukaryota; Viridiplantae; Chlorophyta; Picocystophyceae; Picocystales; Picocystaceae. The record is from RNAcentral.
GCUCAUUAAAUCAGUUAUAGUUUAUUUGAUGGUCUUGUACUCGGAUACCUGUUGGAAUCCAAGAGCUAAUACGUGCGCAACUCCCGACUUCUGGAAGGGACGUAUUUAUUAGAUAAAAAACCAAACUUGUUUCUCGGUGACUCAUGAUAACUGAUCGGAUCGCAUGGCCUCGUGCCGGCGACGUUUCAUUCAAAUUUCUGCCCUAUCAACUGUCGAUGGUAGGAUAGAGGCCUACCAUGGUGGUAACGGGUGACGGAGAAUUAGGGUUCGAUUCCGGAGAGGGAGCCUGA